Molecule: ribosomal RNA, 229 nt
Filed under: uncultured bacterium
Lineage: Bacteria
Description: partial 16S ribosomal RNA
Rfam family: Bacterial small subunit ribosomal RNA
Source: RNAcentral
UGCGUAGGCGGAAUAAUAAGUCAGUGGUGAAAUCCUGUGGCUCAACCACAGAACUGCCAUUGAUACUGUUAUUCUUGAAUAUAGUUGAGGUAGGCGGAAUGUGUAAUGUAGCGGUGAAAUGCUUAGAUAUUACACAGAACACCGAUUGCGAAGGCAGCUUGCUAAACUAUUAUUGACGCUGAGGCACGAAAGCGUGGGGAGCGAACAGGAUUAGAUACCCGAGUAGUCC